Molecule: ribosomal RNA, 632 nt
Filed under: uncultured bacterium
Lineage: Bacteria
Description: bacterial SSU rRNA
Rfam family: Bacterial small subunit ribosomal RNA (bases 1-547)
Source: RNAcentral
CCUACGGGAGGCAGCAGUGGGGAAUUUUGGACAAUGGGGGCAACCCUGAUCCAGCCAUUCCGCGUGAGUGAAGAAGGCCUUCGGGUUGUAAAGCUCUUUCGCAAGGGAAGAAAACUUAUGAUCGAAUAAAUCAUGAGGUUGACGGUACCUUGAUAAGAAGCACCGGCUAACUACGUGCCAGCAGCCGCGGUAAUACGUAGGGUGCGAGCGUUAAUCGGAAUUACUGGGCGUAAAGCGUGCGCAGGCGGUUUUGUAAGUCGGAUGUGAAAUCCCCGGGCUCAACCUGGGAACUGCGUUCGAAACUGCAAGGCUAGAGUGUGUCAGAGGGGGGUUAGAAUUCCACGUGUAGCAGUGAAAUGCGUAGAGAUGUGGAGGAAUACCAAUGGCGAAGGCAGCCCCCUGGGAUAACACUGACGCUCAUGCACGAAAGCGUGGGGAGCAAACAGGAUUAGAUACCCUGGUAGUCCACGCCCUAAACGAUGUACAACUAGUUGUUGGUAGAGUAAAACUCUAUGAGUAACGUAGACUACGACGUGAGUAGACCGCCGUGGGAGGUACGGUCGCGAGAGUAAACGUACGAAGUAAGUAGUAGUACGUGAGAGAGACGACGACGACGACGACGGAGGAGGAGG